UGUGCCUCCAAUUGCAGGGCGGUGCUCUCCCCAACCCUUGGGGUGUCAUGGUCUACUCUGCAAGCACACAGCAGACAAAUUCGGGAAAAUGUGUCAUCAAGUUCAAGUUUUCAUCUAGUGUGGAAGGAGCUUCUUGCAGCACGGCACUGAAUGUGAGCCACCGGGAAACAUCGCCACCUAAGAAGUUACUUUCAGCAUCCCAAGACAAACGCAUCUUGGAGCCGACGGCUUCGACUCUGCAGUCUCCACACGGC
Molecule: long non-coding RNA, 254 nt
Filed under: Sinocyclocheilus anshuiensis
Lineage: Eukaryota; Metazoa; Chordata; Actinopteri; Cypriniformes; Cyprinidae
Description: lncRNA (ENSSANG00000008409.1)
Source: RNAcentral